Non-coding RNA from Salvia hispanica, 445 nucleotides. The record is from RefSeq and is a predicted model, not a curated record. NCBI's taxonomy places the organism in Eukaryota, Viridiplantae, Streptophyta, Magnoliopsida, Lamiales, Lamiaceae.
AGCAAGUGAGUGGGAGGUUAGUAAAUAUAACUUACAUCGAAAACCGGUCACUCUUUUCCUGCUCAAUGCUUUUCUAAGAAGCUCGAGGUGGCUGAAUUCUCCGGCCUUAGGUCGAGUGGAUGUGUGACUUUCGCCAAGAAUGCUAGGGAGGCUUCUUUCUUCGACGCAGUGGCUGCACAGCUCACUCCAAUGAUGAAUUAACGUUUUGACUCGAAAAUGAACGAUAAAAUGAGCUUUAGCAUAGGAGAUGUUGAUCCACCGUCUCCGACGACAUACUCCACACCAUGUGAGUCACCGGAGAGCAGAGGCGCAGCUUGUCUCAGUGAUGCUCGGAUCAAUACAUGCAUAAUAUUUUAGCCUAUAAAUAUGUUAUUUAAGGGCUGGGUUUCCACACAUACCUACUUACGGUUGUCAAUCCAUUACUAUGUUUUCUUUUUUAGAUUGA